AGAACGAACGCUGGCGGCGUGCUUAACACAUGCAAGUCGAGUGCGCAGUUGUAGCAAUACAACUGGCGCACGGCGCACGGGUGCGUAACACGUGGGCAAUCUGCCCUUCGAUGGGGAAUAACUCCGGGAAACCGAAGCUAAUUCCGCAUAACAUUCCUUGGACUUCGGUUCGAGGAUUCAAAGCCGUAAGGCGUCGAAGGAGGAGCCCGCGCACGAUUAGCUAGUUGGUAGGUAACGGCCUACCAAGGCUUUGAUCGUUA
This 260-nucleotide ribosomal RNA is filed under the name uncultured bacterium. RNAcentral's name for it is "partial small subunit ribosomal RNA". It matches the Rfam family "Bacterial small subunit ribosomal RNA", at positions 26 to 285 of the family's 1533-position model. The record is from RNAcentral.